This 490-nucleotide ribosomal RNA is filed under the name uncultured bacterium. RNAcentral's name for it is "partial 16S ribosomal RNA". It matches the Rfam family "Bacterial small subunit ribosomal RNA", at positions 29 to 505 of the family's 1533-position model. The record is from RNAcentral.
AGUGAACGCUGGCGGUAGGCCUAACACAUGCAAGUCGAACGGCAGCACAGUAAGAGCUUGCUCUUACGGGUGGCGAGUGGCGGACGGGUGAGGAAUACAUCGGAAUCUACUUUUUCGUGGGGGAUAACGUAGGGAAACUUACGCUAAUACCGCAUACGACCUACGGGUGAAAGCAGGGGAUCUUCGGACCUUGCGCGAUUGAAUGAGCCGAUGUCGGAUUAGCUAGUUGGCGGGGUAAAGGCCCACCAAGGCGACGAUCCGUAGCUGGUCUGAGAGGAUGAUCAGCCACACUGGAACUGAGACACGGUCCAGACUCCUACGGGAGGCAGCAGUGGGGAAUAUUGGACAAUGGGCGCAAGCCUGAUCCAGCCAUACCGCGUGGGUGAAGAAGGCCUUCGGGUUGUAAAGCCCUUUUGUUGGAAAAAAAAAGCAGCAGGUUAAUACCCCGCUGUUCUGACGGUACCAAAAGAAUAAGCACCGGCUAACUUCG